UACAGAGGGUGCAAGCGUUGUUCGGAAUUAUUGGGCGUAAAGGGCGCGUAGGCGGUGCGGUAAGUCACCUGUGAAACCUCUGGGCUUAACUCAGAGCCUGCAGGCGAAACUGCCGUGCUUGAGUGUGGGAGAGGUGCGUGGAAUUCCCGGUGUAGCGGUGAAAUGCGUAGAUAUUGGGAGGAACACCGGUGGCGAAGGCGGCUACCUGGACCGGAACUGACGCUGAGGCGCGAAAGCGUGGGUAGCAAACAGG
Molecule: ribosomal RNA, 253 nt
Filed under: uncultured bacterium
Lineage: Bacteria
Description: partial 16S ribosomal RNA
Rfam family: Bacterial small subunit ribosomal RNA
Source: RNAcentral